This 2282-nucleotide long non-coding RNA is filed under the name Mytilus galloprovincialis (Mediterranean mussel). Lineage: Eukaryota; Metazoa; Mollusca; Bivalvia; Mytilida; Mytilidae. The record is from RNAcentral.
UUGAUAUUGCACCAGUUUAUUUUGUGUCAUGACAGGAAUAAAAUGUAAAAAGAUACUAUUUUAAAAAUGUUCUGUAAUUUUGAAAGUAAAACUUCUUCAGUUAAAGUUUUUUGUUUUAAAUAACUUAUAAAAAGACACAUUCUAAGAAUUUUGCAUACAACCUAAGGUAAAGUGAUACAAGACCACCUAACAUAGCACAUAAGAUCAACAUAGUUGGGCAGUGAUUAUAAUUUUUACUGCAUAUGAAUAUCAAGAAAUGAUAUAUGUAGCAUGUAUUCUUCCAGUGAAAUAACCAAUUAACAGAUUCAGCAGAUUCAUUUUUUAGUAAGAUAUGUUUAUAUACCAGUAGAUGAAUUUAUCUUUGUUUCACAUAAAGAAAAACUUGGCAUGAGUACAGUUUCAUCCUGUCCAGAACUAUAGAAAAAAUCUCACAUAACCUUUCAUUGCAUAUAGGAAAAUAACCAUCCCUGGAAUUUUGCCAAUCAAAUUUUCCCCCUUAUUUAACCUGUGUACCAGCUUUAGUAACCAUGUUACCUCAAGUUUCAAAUAUAUUCUAUAGAAAUCCCAAAUAAAAAAAAUAACGGUACUUUGAAAUACCAAAGUUAAAUGUUAAUGAAAAAGAAAUGUUUUACUGCAAUAAAAUGUAGAUUUAUUACCUACAUCUGUCAAAUUCAAGGGAAUAUUUUUUCUACCUAUUUUCGUAUGCAACUGAAUGUGAAGUACUAUGAUUAGUGGUAUUACAGCAUAUAGGCAGCACUUAAUACUUUAUUUAUGAAGACGGCAAAAAGGAUGUUGAAGACCCCCCAACAUUAUUUUUAAAUCAUUCUUGUUCACAGCAAUAGCAUCAAUUCUUUACAAAUAUUCUGAGAAACCUAAUUUCUUGAAAUCACAACUAAAAGUGACUAAAAUAACUAAAAUGCAUUUUACAGAAUUUUGUUCAUGUGUUCUAUACAAGUAUACAUCUAUCUAAAGUAAUUAAUUGAGUGUAACUCUGGAUGAUAAAAUGCUACAUGUAUCCAUUUUUAUCAUUUUGAUGCAAUUCAACAAGUUCUAAAUGCAUAGAAAAAUACCAUGAAAAACUAUAAUAUAAUUCCUCAAUUUGGUAAAAUUAACAUAAAUCCAUUACCACAACGUUAAAUAGAGCAUUUUCAUUUAAUGAAUUGUGACAAACAUUUUUCAUACAUCUUGUUCAAGAUUACAUAUUUAGGCUCUUUGAGUUCAAAACUUUGCAAUAUCUAAUGUUUGCCUCCUUAAAUAUUGUUUUGGUUGAAGGUUAAUUAAAACCCCAUUAUAGUAUAAAUCUAGUAUCAUACCUGCUUAGUAUGUACCAUUACCAUAAAACAAGGAUGUAAUAAAAUACUAAUUUUAAAGCAGAAACAGUAGAUAUUAUAUAAUAGAUAUUUGUAUAUCAGCUUUAAAUUGACUAUCCACUUAAAUAAAAGUUGCUUGAUUAGAAACAACAUUGAACACUUAUUAUAAGAAGCCUAGAUUAAAAAGGAUGAUUUCUUCCAGUCUUGUUGAAAAUAUCCAGAUGCUAUUCCAACUAAUUAUCAUAUGUUGCCAUGGAUUAAUGAGAUGUUUUUGCUUAGAAUAAGUGGUAUAUAAAUGAAUCCGACAAUGUUUUAAAAGGCAAUCAUAAGGAACUGAAUCUGAUUAUUUGUAAAAAGUUGGUACAAUAUGUCAUUGAAAGGCAAUAACUUCAAUAAGGAGUUUACUGACCAAUUUCAGUCAUGUUUACUUAUUUGAAGAUCUUGUCUUGCUGACCAUUUUAUAUUAAAAGUUUCUGUCUAUCUCCUAUAAUUUUCAAGAUGAUAGGCAAAUAUGACAUAAAAUGAUAAGAUUUGCCAUUUAAGUAAGCGGAUUUCAAGAUAAUAGACAUUGUAACUUAAAAAAACAAACUUAUCCUCUAAAUAUAUUAGACCAAUUCUAACCUAACUUAGCCAAAAUCAGUAAUGGGAAAUCUAGUUGGAAAAAUGUAUCUAACCAACAUGGCUGUCAUGGCAAAAAAAUUAACACAUGGGUUAAAUGAAAGUUUCAUCUGGGUCAUCAGAUACAUUUUUCAAACUAGAUUCCCCAUCACUGAUUUUGGCUAAGUUAGGUUAUAAUUGGUGUAAUAUAUUUAGAGGAUAAGGUUUUUUUUUUAAAGCUACAACAACAGUCCCCACAUGCCAAGUCAUAAGAAAGCUAGGUGAUAUUGAAAAUUGUUGGAAUUUUCCAUCAAUAGUUAGAAUUUAAUUAAAGGUACACAAUGCUAAUAAUCUUGUUUAAUUACCAAAUAAAAA